This 253-nucleotide ribosomal RNA is filed under the name uncultured bacterium. RNAcentral's name for it is "partial 16S ribosomal RNA". It matches the Rfam family "Bacterial small subunit ribosomal RNA", at positions 524 to 776 of the family's 1533-position model. The record is from RNAcentral.
UACGUAGGGGGCUAGCGUUGUCCGGAAUCAUUGGGCGUAAAGCGCGUGUAGGCGGUCCGGUAAGUCCGCUGUGAAAGUCGAGGGCUCAACCCUCGAAUGCCGGUGGAUACUGUCGGGCUUGAGUACGGGAGAGGCGAGUGGAAUUCCUGGUGUAGCGGUGAAAUGCGCAGAUAUCAGGAGGAACACCGGUGGCGAAGGCGGAUCUCUGGGCCAUUACUGACGCUGAGGAGCGAAAGCGUGGGGAGCAAACAGG